Molecule: long non-coding RNA, 1038 nt
Organism: Labrus mixtus (cuckoo wrasse)
Lineage: Eukaryota; Metazoa; Chordata; Actinopteri; Labriformes; Labridae
Exons: 5
Source: RefSeq, a predicted model, not a curated record
AUAGUCUAAACCAGCAAAUAGAAAGCAGAGUCAAAGCUUCAAACUGCCAUCAGUUCUCAUCAUGAUCCGACUUUAUGCAGACGAUACCUUCCUUUAUUAACCAAACAAUAAAUACAGCCAUAAGAUACACAUUCAACUCACCUCCUGCUGUCAGGACUGCUGCUGCCAUCUGCCAUCUGUCAGACACACAGGUAGACACACAGGCAGACAGACAGACAGACAGGUAGACACACAGGCAGACAGACAGGUAGACAGACAGGGAGACACACAGGUAGACACACAGGCAGACAGAUAGGUAGGUAGACAGACAGGGAGACACACAGGUAGACACACAGGCAGACAGACAGACAGACAGACAGACACACAGGCAGACAGACAGGUAGACAGACAGAGAGACACACAGGCAGACAGACAGGUAGACAGACAGAGAGACACACAGGCAGACAGAUAGGUAGACAGACAGGUAGACACACAGGUAGACACAGGCAGACAGAUAUGUAGACACACAGGUAGACACACAGGCAGACAGAUAGGUAGACAGACAGGCAGACACACAGGUAGACACACAGGCAGACAGACAGACAGACAGACAGACACACAGGCAGACAGACAGGUAGACAGACAGAGAGACACACAGGCAGACAGAUAGGUAGACAGACAGGUAGACAGAUAAGUAGACACACAGGUAGACACAGGCAGACAGAUAGGUAGACAGACAGGUAGACAGAUAAGUAGACACACAGGUAGACACACAGGCAGACAGAUAGGUAGGUAGACAGACAGGGAGACACACAGGUAGACACACAGGCAGACAGAUAGGUAGACAGACAGGCAGACAGAUAGGUAGACACACAGGUAGACAUACAGGUAGACACACAGGCAGACAGAUAGGUAGACAGACAGGGAGACACACAGGUAGACACACAGACAGACAGGCAGACACACAGACAGGCAGACACACAGGUAGACACACAGGCAGACAGACAGACAGACACACAGGCAGACAGACACACAGGUAGACACAAAGGCAGACAGACA